This 305-nucleotide ribosomal RNA is filed under the name uncultured bacterium. RNAcentral's name for it is "bacterial SSU rRNA". It matches the Rfam family "Bacterial small subunit ribosomal RNA", at positions 333 to 655 of the family's 1533-position model. The record is from RNAcentral.
GUAUACCUACGGGGGGCAGCAGUGGGGAAUAUUGCACAAUGGGCGAAAGCCUGAUGCAGCAACGCCGCGUGAGCGAUAAAGGCCUUCGGGUCGUAAAGCUCUGUCCUCAAGGAAGAUAAUGACGGUACUUGAGGAGGAAGCCCCGGCUAACUACGUGCCAGCAGCCGCGGUAAUACGUAGGGGGCUAGCGUUAUCCGGAAUUACUGGGUGUAAAGGGAGCGUAGGCGGCGAUGCAAGUCAGAAGUGAAAGCCCGGGGCUCAACUCCGGGACAGCUUUUGAAACCGUAUGGCUAGAUUGCAGGAGA